This 260-nucleotide unclassified non-coding RNA is filed under the name Hevea brasiliensis (rubber tree). The record is from RNAcentral. Lineage: Eukaryota; Viridiplantae; Streptophyta; Magnoliopsida; Malpighiales; Euphorbiaceae.
UUUCUCUCUUUCCGAACUCCAUGCCCUAGAUUAGGGUAAAACUCAUAGAGGCAAUUUCGAAGAGAAAAAGGUAAUUCUUCUUCCUUGGUAAGCUUUAAAUCUUUUUCCAUUAUAAUUUGGUUAUUUUUCUGCAUUUUAUCAUUUUGUUUCGUUUUUUUGAUGAACUUACAAUCUCUGAAAAUAAGUGUUUUGGGCGAAUUUAGGAUUUUCAGAAUAUGAGUGCAGCAGAAGAAAAUGUAUUAAGCGGAAAUUGAUCUCUG